Molecule: ribosomal RNA, 1443 nt
Filed under: metagenome
Description: bacterial LSU rRNA
Rfam family: Bacterial large subunit ribosomal RNA
Source: RNAcentral
GGGUUAGCCGGGACCUAAGGAGAAGCCGAGAGGCGAAUCUAAUGGAAAGCGGGUUAAAAUUCCUGCGCCUGCGUACACUAAAAAGGGGACGGAGGUAUGUAGUGUCUAGGUACUGACGGAAAAGUGCGUUGAGAGGAAGCUUAGGCGGACUCGAAGACAUGAGUUACCUUCCAAGAAAAGCCGAAGUACGCAGCCCGUACCGCAAACCGACACAGGUAGUCGAGGAGAGUAUCCUAAGGCGCUCGAGUGAUCCACGGUUAAGGAACUAGGCAAAUUAGCCCCGUAACUUCGGGAGAAGGGGCUCCCACCGCGAGGUGGGACGCAGUGAAGAGGCCCAGGCGACUGUUUAACAAAAACACAGGACUCUGCGAAAUCGAAAGAUGAAGUAUAGGGUCUGACACCUGCCCGGUGCCGGAAGGUUAAGGAAGGGAGUUAGCUUCGGCGACGCUCUUGACUGAAGCCCCGGUAAACGGCGGCCGUAACAAUAACGGUCCUAAGGUAGCGAAAUUCCUUGUCGGGUAAGUUCCGACCUGCACGAAUGGUGUAACGAUCUGGGCACUGUCUCAACCGUGAGCUCGGUGAAAUUGAAGUAUCGGUGAAGAUACCGGUUACCCGCAACGGGACGGAAAGACCCCGUGAACCUUUACUAUAGCUUCACAUUGGUCUUGAGUAUAGGAUGUGUAGGAUAGGUGGGAGGCGAUGAAGUUGCGACGCUGGUUGUGGUGGAGCCGUCCUUGAAAUACCACCCUUCUUAUACUUAGGUUCUAAUCCCGAUUUAUCGGGAGACAGUGUGUGGUGGGUAGUUUGACUGGGGUGGUCGCCUCCGAAAGAGUAACGGAGGCUUGCAAAGGUACCCUCAGCAUGGUUGGUAACCAUGCGAAGAGCGCAUGAGUAUAAGGGUGCUUGACUGCGAGACGGACGCGUCGAACAGGGACGAAAGUCGGCUCAAGUGAUCCGGUGGUUCCGCAUGGAAGGGCCAUCGCUCAAAGGAUAAAAGGUACUCCGGGGAUAACAGGCUGAUCUCCCCCAAGAGCUCACAUCGACGGGGAGGUUUGGCACCUCGAUGUCGGCUCGUCGCAUCCUGGGGCUGGAGAAGGUCCCAAGGGUUGGGCUGUUCGCCCAUUAAAGCGGCACGCGAGCUGGGUUCAGAACGUCGCGAGACAGUUCGGUCCCUAUCUGUUGCGGGCGUUGGAGUAUUGAGGAGAUCUGACUCUAGUACGAGAGGACCGGGUUGGACGUACCGCUUGUGUACCAGUUGUACCGCCAGGUGCACCGCUGGGUAGCUAUGUACGGAAUGGAUAAGCACUGAAAGCAUCUAAGUGCGAAGCCAACUCCAAGAUGAGUACUCCUUGAGGGUUGUGGGAGAUGACCACGUUGAUAGGCUACAGGUGGAAGCGCAGUGAUGUGUGGAGCCGAGUAGUACUAAUUACCCGAAAGCUUCCG